GACGAACGCUGGCGGCGUGCUUAACACAUGCAAGUCGAACGGUAAGGCCCUGCUUUUGUUGGGUGCUCGAGUGGCGAACGGGUGAGUAACACGUGAGUAACCUGCCCUUGACUUUGGGAUAACUUCAGGAAACUGGGGCUCAUACCGGAUAGGAGCUCCUGCUGCAUGGUGGGGGUUGGAAAGUUUCGGCGGUUGGGGAUGGACUCGCGGCUUAUCAGCUUGUUGGUGGGGUAGUGGCUUACCAAGGCUUGGACGGGUAGCCGGCCUGAGAGGGUGACCGGCCGCAUUGGGACUGAGAUACGGCCGAGACUCCUACGGGAGGCAGGAGGGGGGAAUAUUGCACACUGGGCGGAAGCCUGCUGCAGGAACGCAGGGUGCGGGAUGAAGGCCUUCGGGUUGGAAACAGCUUUCGCCUGUGACGAAGCGUGAGUGACGGUAAUGGGUGAAGAAGCACCGGCUAACUACGUG
RNAcentral lists this ribosomal RNA (468 nucleotides) under uncultured bacterium. RNAcentral describes it as "partial 16S ribosomal RNA". It matches the Rfam family "Bacterial small subunit ribosomal RNA", at positions 28 to 507 of the family's 1533-position model. The record is from RNAcentral.